UGUUUAAUUGACUAGUCUUUAUGGGAUAAGUAGAGAAACUUCUAGCUCGAUUUGUGAAAAGUCUUGGCCCCCAUACAAAAAAAAUAAAAAUAAAAAAGAAUAAAAAAAAAAAAAAAAAAAAGGGGGCAGAAAAAAUUGUUUUGGAAAAAAAAAAAAAAAAAAAAAAAAAAAAAAAAGGGGGCUAGCAAAGUUGUUUAGAGCUAAGAUUUGUUUAGAAGUUAAGAAAAUCAUUUAUAGAUUUCAUAAAAAAGGAGUUUUAUGUGCAAAGUGUUCUUGGGAUCUUUUGGUGAGAGAUGGGAGUUAGGUUUGACAUU
RNAcentral lists this long non-coding RNA (314 nucleotides) under Brassica napus (rape). RNAcentral's name for it is "long non-coding RNA (BNAP_LNC024559)". The record is from RNAcentral. Lineage: Eukaryota; Viridiplantae; Streptophyta; Magnoliopsida; Brassicales; Brassicaceae.